Molecule: ribosomal RNA, 533 nt
Filed under: uncultured bacterium
Lineage: Bacteria
Description: bacterial SSU rRNA
Rfam family: Bacterial small subunit ribosomal RNA
Source: RNAcentral
AGUAAAUAGAUACCCGGGUAGUCCACGCCGUAAACGAUGUCGACUUGGAGGUUGUGCCCUUGAGGCGUGGCUUCCGGAGCUAAACGCGUUAAAGUCGACCGCCUGGGGAGUACGGCCGCAAGGUUAAAACUCAAAUGAAUUGACGGGGGCCCGCACAAGCGGUGGAGCAUGUGGUUUAAUUCGAUGCAACGCGAAGAACCUUACCUACUCUUGACAUCCAGAGAACUUUCCAGAGAUGGAUUGGUGCCUUCGGGAACUCUGAGACAGGUGCUGCAUGGCUGUCGUCAGCUCGUGUUGUGAAAUGUUGGGUUAAGUCCCGCAACGAGCGCAACCCUUAUCCUUUGUUGCCAGCGGUUAGGCCGGGAACUCAAAGGAGACUGCCAGUGAUAAACUGGAGGAAGGUGGGGAUGACGUCAAGUCAUCAUGGCCCUUACGAGUAGGGCUACACACGUGCUACAAUGGCGCAUACAAAGAGAAGCGACCUCGCGAGAGCAAGCGGACCUCAUAAAGUGCGUCGUAGUCCGGAUUGGAGU